Molecule: non-coding RNA, 28 nt
Filed under: Bombyx mori (domestic silkworm)
Lineage: Eukaryota; Metazoa; Arthropoda; Insecta; Lepidoptera; Bombycidae
Source: RNAcentral
UGACUGCUUGGUUACUUUUAAAAACUGC